This 579-nucleotide unclassified non-coding RNA is filed under the name Hevea brasiliensis (rubber tree). The record is from RNAcentral. Lineage: Eukaryota; Viridiplantae; Streptophyta; Magnoliopsida; Malpighiales; Euphorbiaceae.
UUUUGCUGUUAUUUAACUUAAAACUUUGAAUUAUUCUUGUUUUUGUUUCCCCCAAUUUUCUUAGCAAGAUCAAGAAAAUUUAUGAAAAAAUUUUCUUUAAGAACAUUUAUCCAGUAGCAUUACUUAAAAAUUGCAAAACUGGGAGUAAGUGGAUGGGUUGGUUUGCGAAUUCUUGAUUUUAGUCCAAUUUCUAGUUCUUGCUUUAUGGUGUCUAACAGGGCUGAACUAGGACAAAGGAUCCGGCCUCAACUAGUUUGGGAUUAGUUGUUGUUGUUGUUUUAAUUCUUCACGUUUUAAGAUUUGUUGAGUGAUAUAUUAUAGCCAAAUUGAAAGAUUAGAGCAAAAUUCUUGUGUAGUUUCUUUUGUUGUUUGGCUCUUCUUAAUAUCCAGCAAUUGUCAUGCUGCCACUUUUAGAAGAACACAUCCUAUUGUGCAUCUUUUCCUUUUUCCAAAUAAUAGGGUGGUAGAUGCUUCUCUUGUAAUUUAGCUUUCAUGUCUUGCCACGUAACAAUUGGUGGUUCCCUCAAUCUUGCCAUGUCUUGCUCAACACUUUUUCACCAUAUUUUUGCUAAUCCAAUG